CAGCAGCCGCGGGAAUACGUAGGGUGCGAGCGUUAAUCGGAAUUACUGGGCGUAAAGCGUGCGCAGGCGGUUGUGUAAGACAGGUGUGAAAUCCCCGGGCUUAACCUGGGAACUGCGCUUGUGACUGCACAGCUAGAGUAUGGCAGAGGGGGGUGGAAUUCCACGUGUAGCAGUGAAAUGCGUAGAGAUGUGGAGGAACACCGAUGGCGAAGGCAGCCCCCUGGGCCAAUACUGACGCUCAUGCACGAAAGCGUGGGGAGCAAACAGGAUUAGAUACCCCUGUAGUCCCUGUCUCUUAUAC
This 301-nucleotide ribosomal RNA is filed under the name uncultured bacterium. Its description in RNAcentral is "partial 16S ribosomal RNA". It matches the Rfam family "Bacterial small subunit ribosomal RNA", at positions 509 to 807 of the family's 1533-position model. The record is from RNAcentral.